UACGGAGGGUGCAAGCGUUGCUCGGAAUUACUGGGCGUAAAGCGUGCGCAGGCGGUGAUGUAAGACAGUUGUGAAAUCCCCGGGCUCAACCUGGGAACUGCAUCUGUGACUGCAUCGCUGGAGUGCGGCAGAGGGGGAUGGAAUUCCGCGUGUAGCAGUGAAAUGCGUAGAUAUGCGGAGGAACACCGAUGGCGAAGGCAAUCCCCUGGGCCUGCACUGACGCUCAUGCACGAAAGCGUGGGGAGCAAACAGG
This 253-nucleotide ribosomal RNA is filed under the name uncultured bacterium. Its description in RNAcentral is "partial 16S ribosomal RNA". It matches the Rfam family "Bacterial small subunit ribosomal RNA", at positions 524 to 776 of the family's 1533-position model. The record is from RNAcentral.